CUCGUAGGCGGUUUGGUAAGUCGGGUGUGAAAACUCUGGGCUCAACCCAGAGAGGCCACCCGAUACUGCUAUGACUAGAGUACGGUAGGGGAGCGGGGAAUUCAUGGUGUAGCGGUGAAAUGCGCAGAUAUCAUGAGGAACACCAGCGGCGAAGGCGCCGCUCUGGGCCGUAACUGACGCUGAGGAGCGAAAGCGUGGGUAGCAAACA
Molecule: ribosomal RNA, 208 nt
Filed under: uncultured bacterium
Lineage: Bacteria
Description: partial 16S ribosomal RNA
Rfam family: Bacterial small subunit ribosomal RNA
Source: RNAcentral